GAGGAGGAGCCCGGAGAUGGGCACUGAGACAAGGGCCCAGGCCCUAUGGGGCGCAGCAGGCGCGAAACCUCUGCAAUAGGCGAAAGCUUGACAGGGUUACUCUGAGUGAUUUCCGUUAAGGAGAUCUUUUGGCACCUCUAAAAAUGGUGCAGAAUAAGGGGUGGGCAAGUCUGGUGUCAGCCGCCGCGGCAAUACCAGCACCCCGAGUGGUCGGGACGUUUAUUGGGCCUAAAGCAUCCGUAGCCGGUUCUACAAGUCUUCCGUUAAAUCCACCUGCUCAACAGAUGGGCUGCGGAAGAUACUAUGGAGCUGGGAGGCGGGAGAGGCAAGCGGUACUCGAUGGGUAGGGGUAAAAUCCGUUGAUCCAUUGAAGACCACCAGUGGCGAAGGCGGCUUGCCAGAACGCGCUCGACGGUGAGGGAUGAAAGCUGGGGGAGCAAACCGGAUUAGAUACCCGGGUAGUCCCAGCUGUAAACGAUGCAGACUCGGUGAUGAGUUGGCUUUAUGCCAACUCAGUGCCGCAGGGAAGCCGUUAAGUUUGCCGCCUGGGGAGUACGGUCGCAAGACUGAAACUUAA
Molecule: ribosomal RNA, 577 nt
Filed under: uncultured archaeon
Lineage: Archaea
Description: bacterial SSU rRNA
Rfam family: Archaeal small subunit ribosomal RNA
Source: RNAcentral